UACGAAGGGGGCUAGCGUUGCUCGGAUUGACUGGGCGUAAAGGGCGCGUAGGCGGUUCGUACAGUCAGACGUGAAAUUCCUGGGCUCAACCUGGGGGCUGCGUUUGAUACGUGCGGACUUGAGUGCGGAAGAGGGUCGUGGAAUUCCCAGUGUAGAGGUGAGAUUCGUAGAUAUUGGGAAGAACACCGGUGGCGAAGGCGGCGACCUGGUCCGAUACUGACGCUGAGGCGCGAAAGCGUGGGGAGCAAACAGG
This 253-nucleotide ribosomal RNA is filed under the name uncultured bacterium. Its description in RNAcentral is "partial 16S ribosomal RNA". It matches the Rfam family "Bacterial small subunit ribosomal RNA", at positions 524 to 776 of the family's 1533-position model. The record is from RNAcentral.